AGAGUUUGAUCCUGGCUCAGGAUGAACGCUGGCGGCGUGCUUAACACAUGCAAGUCGAACGAUGAUCCCAGCUUGCUGGGGGAUUAGUGGCGAACGGGUGAGUAACACGUGAGUAACCUGCCCUUAACUCUGGGAUAAGCCUGGGAAACUGGGUCUAAUACCGGAUAUGACUCCUCAUCGCAUGGUGGGGGGUGGAAAGCUUUAUUGUGGUUUUGGAUGGACUCGCGGCCUAUCAGCUUGUUGGUGAGGUAAUGGCUCACCAAGGCGACGACGGGUAGCCGGCCUGAGAGGGUGACCGGCCACACUGGGACUGAGACACGGCCCAGACUCCUACGGGAGGCAGCAGUGGGGAAUAUUGCACAAUGGGCGAAAGCCUGAUGCAGCGACGCCGCGUGAGGGAUGACGGCCUUCGGGUUGUAAACCUCUUUCAGUAGGGAAGAAGCGAAAGUGACGGUACCUGCAGAAGAAGCGCCGGCUAACUACGUGCCAGCAGCCGCGGUAAUACGUAGGGCGCAAGCGUUAUCCGGAAUUAUUGGGCGUAAAGAGCUCGUAGGCGGUUUGUCGCGUCUGCCGUGAAAGUCCGGGGCUCAACUCCGGAUCUGCGGUGGGUACGGGCAGACUAGAGUGAUGUAGGGGAGACUGGAAUUCCUGGUGUAGCGGUGAAAUGCGCAGAUAUCAGGAGGAACACCGAUGGCGAAGGCAGGUCUCUGGGCAUUAACUGACGCUGAGGAGCGAAAGCAUGGGGAGCGAACAGGAUUAGAUACCCUAGUAGUCC
Molecule: ribosomal RNA, 775 nt
Filed under: uncultured Arthrobacter sp.
Lineage: Bacteria; Bacillati; Actinomycetota; Actinomycetes; Micrococcales; Micrococcaceae
Description: bacterial SSU rRNA
Rfam family: Bacterial small subunit ribosomal RNA
Source: RNAcentral